ACUCUUUCAAUCAGUCAGCAUUAGGGUUUUAAACCUUAAACUGAACUUUUUCCAUUCAGCCAGCAUUAGGGUUUUAAACCCUAAACUGAGCUUUUCCAUGCAGUCAGCAUUAGGGUUUUAAACCCUGAACUGAAUUUUCCCUUUAUUCAGCAUUAGGGUUUUAAACCCUAAACUGAACUUUUUCCAUUCAGCCAGCAUUAGGGUUUUAAACCCUAAACUGCGCUUUUCCAUGCAGUCAGCAUUAGGGUUUUAAACCCUGAACUGAAUUUUCCCUUUAGUCAGCAUUAGGGUUUUGAAACCCUAAACUGCACUUUUUCCAUUUAGUCAGCAUUAGGGUUUUAAACCCUAAACUGAACUUUUCCCUUUAGUCAGCAUUAGAGUUUAAACCCUAAACUGAACUCGUUCCCUUUAGUCAGCAUUAGGGUUUUAAACCCUAAACUGAACUUUUCCCUUUAGUCAGCAUCCCUAAACUGAACUUUUUCCAUUUAGUCAGCAUUAGGGUUUUAAACCCUAAACUGAACUCUUUCCAUUUAGUCAGCAUUAGGGUUUUAAACCUUAAACUGAACUUUUUCCCUUUAGUCAGCAUUAGGGUUUUAAACCCUAAACUGAACUUUUUCCAUUUAGUCAGCAUUAGGAUUUUAAACCCUAAACUGAACUCUUUCCUUUAGUCAGCAUUAGGGUUUUAAACCCUAAACUGAACUUUUUCCCUUUAGUCAGCAUUAGGGUUUUAAACCCUUAACUGAACUUUUUUCCUUUAGUCAGCAUUAGGGUUUUAAACCCUAAACUGAACUUUUUCCAUUCAGUCAGCAUUAGGGUUUUAAACCCUAAACUGAACUUUACCUUUAGUCAGCAUUAGGGAUUUAAACCCUAAACUGAACUCUUUCCCAUUCAGUUAGUAUUAGGGUUUUAAACCCUAAACUGAACUUUUUCCAUUCAGUUAGCAUUAGGGUUUUAAACCCUAAACUGAACUCUUUCCAGCCAGUCAGUAUUAGGGUUUUAAACCCUAAACUGAACUUUUCCUUUAGUCAGCAUUAGGGUUUUAAACCCUAAACUGAACUUUUUCCAUUCAGUCAGCAUUAGGGUUUUAAACCCUAAACUGAACUCUUUCCUUUAGUCAGCAUUAGGGUUUUAAACCCUAAACUGAACUCUUUCUUAGUCAGCAUUAGGGUUUUAAACCCUAAACUGAACUUUUUCCAUUCAGUCAGCAUUAGGGUUUUAAACCCUAAACUGAACUCUUUUCCAUUCAGUCAGCAUUAGGGUUUUAAACCCUAAACCGAACUCUUUUCUUUAGUCAGCAUUAGGGUUUUAAACCCUAAACUGAACUCUUUCCAUUCAAUCAGCAUUAGGGUUUUAAACCCUAAACUGAACUCUUUCCAUUCAGUCAGCAUUAGGGUUUUAAACCCUAAACUGAACUCUUUCCGUUCAGUCAGCACUAGGGUUUUAAACCCUAAACUGAACUCUUUUCCUUCAGUCAACAUUAGGGUUUUAAACCCUAAACUGAACUCUUUUCCUUCAGUCAGGAUUAGGGUUUUAAACCCUAAACUGAACUCUUCCCUUUAGUCAGCAUUAGGGUUUUAA
RNAcentral lists this long non-coding RNA (1578 nucleotides) under Nicotiana tabacum (common tobacco). Its description in RNAcentral is "long non-coding RNA (NTAB_LNC004236)". The record is from RNAcentral. Lineage: Eukaryota; Viridiplantae; Streptophyta; Magnoliopsida; Solanales; Solanaceae.